GAUGAACGCUGGCGGCGUGCCUAAUACAUGCAAGUCGAGCGAACGGACGAGAAGCUUGCUUCUCUGAUGUUAGCGGCGGACGGGUGAGUAACACGUGGAUAACCUACCUAUAAGACUGGGAUAACUGCGGGAAACCGUAGCUAAUACCGGAUAAUAUUUUGAACCGCAUGGUUCAAAAGUGAAAGACGGUCUUGCUGUCACUUAUAGAUGGAUCCGCGCUGCAUUAGCUAGUUGGUAAGGUAACGGCUUACCAAGGCAACGAUGCAUAGCCGACCUGAGAGGGUGAUCGGCCACCCGGGAACUGAGACACGGUCCCGACUCCUACGGGAGGCGGCAGUCGGUAAUCUUACGAGCAGGGCGAAAGCCUGCCGGAGCAACGACGCGUGAGUGAUGACGGUAUUAGGAUCGCAAAACUCUGUUAUUAGGGAAGAACAUCUGUGUAAGUACGUGUGCACACCUUGACGGUACCUAAUCAGAAAGCCACGGCUCACCACGUG
This 497-nucleotide ribosomal RNA is filed under the name uncultured bacterium. RNAcentral's name for it is "partial 16S ribosomal RNA". It matches the Rfam family "Bacterial small subunit ribosomal RNA", at positions 28 to 507 of the family's 1533-position model. The record is from RNAcentral.